GACGAACGCUGGCGGCGUGCUUAACACAUGCAAGUCGAACGGUGACGGAGAGCUUGCUCUCCUGAUUAGUGGCGAACGGGUGAGUAACACGUGGGCAACCUGCCCCAGACUUCGGGAUAACGCUUCGAAAGAGGUGCUAAUACCGGAUACGAGCUCCUUGGGCAUCCUUGGAGUUGGAAAGUUUUCGGUCUGGGAUGGGCCCGCAGCCUAUCAGCUAGUUGGUGAGGUAACGGCUCACCAAGGCGACGACGGGUAGCCGGCCUGAGAGGGCGACCGGCCACACUGGGACUGAGACACGGCCCAGACUCCUACGGGAGGCAGCAGUGGGGAAUAUUGCGCAAUGGGCGAAAGCCUGACGCAGCAACGCCGCGUGAGGGAUGACGGCCUCGUGUACGUAC
RNAcentral lists this ribosomal RNA (398 nucleotides) under uncultured bacterium. RNAcentral describes it as "bacterial SSU rRNA". It matches the Rfam family "Bacterial small subunit ribosomal RNA", at positions 28 to 428 of the family's 1533-position model. The record is from RNAcentral.